GCCGCCAGCCCGUACGCGACCCCAGGUCAGGCGGGGCU
This 38-nucleotide ribosomal RNA is filed under the name Acacia disparrima subsp. calidestris. RNAcentral describes it as "partial 26S ribosomal RNA". The record is from RNAcentral. Lineage: Eukaryota; Viridiplantae; Streptophyta; Magnoliopsida; Fabales; Fabaceae.